CUGACAUCAACAUCACGUCAUCUUCAUCAUUUCAUCAUCAUCAUCAUCACUGCAUCAUCAACAUCACUGACAUCAACAUCACGUCAUCUUCAUCACUUCAUCAUCAUCAUCAUCAUCACUGCAUCAUCAACAUCACUGACAUCAACAUCACGUCAUCUUCAUCACUUCAUCACCAUCAUCAUCAUCAUCACUGCAUCAUCAACAUCACUGACAUCAACAUCACGUCAUCUUCAUCAUUUCAUCACCAUCAUCAUCAUCAUCACUGACAUCAAAAUCACGUCAUCUUCAUCACUUCAUCAUCAUUAUCAUCAUCAUCAUCACCGCAUCAUCAACAUCACUGACAUCAACAUCACGUCAUCUUCAUCAUUUCAUCACCAUCAUCUUCAUCACUGCAUCAUCAACAUCACUGACAUCAACAUCACGUCAUCUUCAUCAUUUCAUCACCAUCAUCAUCAUCAUCACUGCAUCAUCAACAUCACUGACAUCAACAUCACGUCAUCUUCAUCAUUUCAUCACCAUCAUCAUCAUCAUCACUGCAUCAUCAACAUCACUGACAUCAACAUCACGUCAUCUUCAUCAUUUCAUCAUCAUCAUCAUCACUGCAUCAUCAACAUCACUGACAUCAACAUCACGUCAUCUUCAUCAUUUCAUCAUCAUCAUCAUCACUGCAUCAUCAACAUCACUGACAUCAACAUCACGUCAUCUUCAUCACUUCAUCAUCAUCAUCAUCAUCACUGCAUCAUCAACAUCACUGACAUCAACAUCACGUCAUCUUCAUCACUUCAUCAUCAUCAUCAUCAUCAUCACCGCAUCAUCAACAUCACUGACAUCAACAUCACGUCAUCUUCAUCAUUUCAUCACCAUCAUCAUCAUCACUGCAUCAUCAACAUCACUGACAUCAACAUCACGUCAUCUUCAUCAUUUCAUCAUCAUCAUCAUCAUCAUCACCGCAUCAUCAACAUCACUGACAUCAACAUCACGUCAUCUUCAGCACAUCACAUCAUCUCAUCACUUCAUCACCAUCAUCAUCAUUUCUGCCAUCAUCGCCAUUCUCGUCACUGA
RNAcentral lists this long non-coding RNA (1062 nucleotides) under Callithrix jacchus (white-tufted-ear marmoset). RNAcentral's name for it is "lncRNA (ENSCJAG00000073209.1)". The record is from RNAcentral. Lineage: Eukaryota; Metazoa; Chordata; Mammalia; Primates; Cebidae.